UUUCCGUAGGUGAACCUGCGGAAGGAUCAUUAAUGAGUUGUCAUGGGGUUCGAUGCUGGCAGCCAGUUUUUGGAUGCAUGUGCUUGCCCUAACCAUCAUCUUCUUCCAAACACCUGUGCACAUUUUUGAGGGAGUCUUGAGUUGGUUGCCGCUCUUGGGUGAUUUUCUCACAUUCCCUUAAAUCAUUAUACGCUAUUAACAAUGUUGAACGUGCUCUGUGCCGCAAGGCCAUUAAUAUAAUACAACUUUUAACAACGGAUCUCUUGGCUCUC
This 272-nucleotide unclassified non-coding RNA is filed under the name plant metagenome. RNAcentral describes it as "partial contains small subunit ribosomal RNA, internal transcribed spacer 1, and 5.8S ribosomal RNA". The record is from RNAcentral.